GCACCAGCGUUCUUGGGGGGUGCCGUGGCACUGGCUGUGACCAGAGGGGGGCAGGACAGGGCUGUCUGAAGCUUGAGGAAAUUCCUUCAUGAAGAAGCCUUGCCUCGAAGCUGGACUGGAGCCAGGACUUGCAACCCAGAUUCUGUGUCUGCUGUGUAAUCUUGGACAGUUUCCCUACCUUCUCUGGUCUUCCCUUUCCCAUUGCAGAUGGAGUAUCCCUUGUCCAAAAUGCUUGAGAGUUUACUGGUUGGGAGGUUUUGGAAUUUUAGGAGUUAGGAAUAUUUGCAUAGACUUCACCAGUUGAGAAUCUCUAGCUAAUCUGAAAAUCCAAAAUGCCUCCAAAUUCCAAUUUAUUGAACAUCAUAUUGGUGCUUAAAAGGUUUCAUAUCUGGGGUUUCCAAAUUAGGGGUGCUCAAGCUGUUUCAUCUACACCACACACAAGAGCAUGGCACAUCUAGCACACCGUAGGUCCUGGAACACAAGAGUCUGGGUUAGUGCCCCAGCUCCUCAGGGUCUCCUUCGGCCCCCAGUCUGCCUGCCUUUGACUCCACUGUGGGCGGUCCCUGGGUCUUCCAGCUGGGAAGUCCACUUCUUAAGAGAGUGACAUCCCUCCCCUGAGGUGCCAUCAGCCUCUGGACCCCCAAGGAGAUCUCAGGAUGUAUCUGGUCCUCCCACUUGCAGCCCCUUCUACCAGGCAGUGAGAAGAGAGAAGAGAGCCUGAC
RNAcentral lists this long non-coding RNA (722 nucleotides) under Heterocephalus glaber (naked mole-rat). Its description in RNAcentral is "lncRNA (ENSHGLG00100037939.1)". The record is from RNAcentral. Lineage: Eukaryota; Metazoa; Chordata; Mammalia; Rodentia; Bathyergidae.